UUGACAAUGUCUGGGUCAUUUUGGUUGUC
RNAcentral lists this non-coding RNA (29 nucleotides) under Homo sapiens (human). The record is from RNAcentral. Lineage: Eukaryota; Metazoa; Chordata; Mammalia; Primates; Hominidae.